CAGUCGCCACGGUAAUACGAAGGGUGCAAGCGUUACUCGGAAUUACUGGGCGUAAAGCGUGCGUAGGUGGUGGUUUAAGUCCGUUGUGAAAGCCCUGGGCUCAACCUGGGGAUUGCAGUGGAUACUGGGUCACUAGAGUGUGGUAGAGGAUAGUGGAAUUUCCGGUGUAGCAGUGAAAUGCGUAGAGAUCGGAAGGAACAUCUGUGGCGAAGGCGACUAUCUGGGCCAACACUGACACUGAGGCACGAAAGCGUGGGGAGCAAACAGGAUUAGAUACCCGGGUAGUCCCUGUCUCUUAUAC
This 301-nucleotide ribosomal RNA is filed under the name uncultured bacterium. RNAcentral describes it as "partial 16S ribosomal RNA". It matches the Rfam family "Bacterial small subunit ribosomal RNA", at positions 509 to 807 of the family's 1533-position model. The record is from RNAcentral.